AAAAAAUCCUCAUAAGUUAGACGAUAAGAGGUACCUUCUAUGAUUUCAAUUCUUAAGAAAUUAUUUAUUCUCUUUUUGAGAUGAAUAGUUAAUUAUAAUUUAUAGAUAGUAGGUGGCACAGAAUCGGAGGCCCCGACUGUUUACUAAAAACACAACACAGUGCAAUCAUUAAUGUGGUAGUAUACUGUGUGAAAUUUGCCCAAUGCCAUUAAUAUAAAAGCGGUCAUAGGAAACUGUGACUAAUUGAAAAUCUGGUUAAUAGCGGUCUUAACCAUGAGGAUCCUAAGGUAGCAAAAUAAAUUGGCCAUUAAAUGUGGUCCGGUAUCAAUAAUGUAACGAUGGCCUCACUGUCUCUACAACUUGCUCAGUGAAAUUGAAUUACGCGUGCAGAUGCGCGUUACCUCCAGUGGGACGGGAAGACCCUAUGCACUUUCU
RNAcentral lists this ribosomal RNA (435 nucleotides) under Amanita sp. 'Arora-01-560'. RNAcentral's name for it is "LSU rRNA". It matches the Rfam family "Bacterial large subunit ribosomal RNA", at positions 1719 to 2103 of the family's 2925-position model. The record is from RNAcentral. Lineage: Eukaryota; Fungi; Basidiomycota; Agaricomycetes; Agaricales; Amanitaceae.